CCUACGGGUGGCAGCAGUGAGGAAUAUUGGUCAAUGGGCGCGAGUCUGAACCAGCCAUGCAGCGUGAAGGAUGACUGCCCUACGGGUUGUAAACUUCUUUUAUAAAAGAAUAAAGUGAGGCACGUGUGCCUUUUUGUAAGUACUUUAUGAAUAAGGAUCGGCUAACUCCGUGCCAGCAGCCGCGGUAAUACGGAGGAUCCGAGCGUUAUCCGGAUUUAUUGGGUUUAAAGGGAGCGUAGAUGGGUGGAUAAGUUAGUUGUGAAAUUGUGCGGCUCAACCGUAGAAUUGCAUUUGAUACUGGUAGGCUAGAGUGUAGUUGAGGUAGGCGGAAUGCGUGGUGUAGCGGUGAAAUGCUUAGAGAUCACGAAGAACACCGAUUGCGAAGGCAGCCUACUAAGCUGCCACUGACGUUGAGGCACGAAAGUGUGGGUAUCAAACAGGAUUAGAUACCCGUGUAGUC
RNAcentral lists this ribosomal RNA (460 nucleotides) under uncultured bacterium. RNAcentral describes it as "partial 16S ribosomal RNA". It matches the Rfam family "Bacterial small subunit ribosomal RNA", at positions 338 to 795 of the family's 1533-position model. The record is from RNAcentral.